RNAcentral lists this ribosomal RNA (445 nucleotides) under uncultured bacterium. RNAcentral describes it as "bacterial SSU rRNA". It matches the Rfam family "Bacterial small subunit ribosomal RNA", at positions 50 to 452 of the family's 1533-position model. The record is from RNAcentral.
UAGGCAUGCAAGUCGAGCGAUAUAUAGGAUAGAGAGGUUGAAGCCGCAAGGCAGAUGCCAAUUUGUCUUGUCUAUAGCGGCAAACGGGUGAGGAACACGUGAGUAAUCUACCUUCAASCCGGGGAUAGCCUUGCGAAAGUAGGGAUAAUACCCGAUGUGUAUUUUGCUAGUAGUAGCGAAAUUGUAAAGGUGGCUCSCAAGAGCUGCUGUUUGGAGAUGAGCUCGCGUCCUAUCAGCUAGUUGGUGGGGUAAUGGCCCMCCAAGGCUUUUGACGGGUAGCUGSCCUGAGAGGGUGGUCASCCMCACGGGGACUGAGACACUGCCCCGACUCCUACGGGAGGCUGCAGUCGAGGAUCUUUAGCAAUGGGSGAAASCCUGACUAUGCGACGCCGCGUGAGGGAUGAAGGUUUUCGGAUCGUAAACCUCUUUCGAUGGGGAAGAAAUC